Molecule: long non-coding RNA, 364 nt
Filed under: Pongo abelii (Sumatran orangutan)
Lineage: Eukaryota; Metazoa; Chordata; Mammalia; Primates; Hominidae
Description: lincRNA
Source: RNAcentral
AGUCUGAAACAGAGGUCAACCAACACUUUGAUUUCAACUUGGCAAAACCUUAAGCAGAGGACUCAGCGAACAUGUGUUUGGACUUCUGAACUACAGAACUGUGAGAUAAUAAAUUGGUGUAAUUAUAAGUUACUAAGUUUGUAGUCAUUUGUUAUCUGAAAUAGAAAACAAGUACAAUCAUUUAGCACAUUAAUAAUUAUUUACUUUUAUUCAGGAAUUAUGUAACUUUAUUUAGUAUUUGCUUAGUAAUAAUUAUUGUGAGUUUUUGAGCAUGGGAGCUAUGUCUUAUUAUCUUUUUUUAUGCUCAAUCCCUAUCAGAAGUUGUGUAUUAAAUGAAUAUUUGUCAAACAAACAAACAGUGCCU